GUGUAUGAAUAAGCACCAAUUUUUGGUGAAUUAUUAAUAUAUACUUAAUUACCGAUAAUAGUAUUAAUUUCUGUCAAGUCUGUCCAGACUUUUGUUUUAUUUAAUCCACUACUUAAUUUUCAACCUAAAGUCUUCAUCAUGGACAGAAAGUGAUAGCGUAGUUAGCUCCACCGCUGCAAGAAAAGGUGCUACUUGAAUCAUC
RNAcentral lists this unclassified non-coding RNA (202 nucleotides) under Hevea brasiliensis (rubber tree). The record is from RNAcentral. Lineage: Eukaryota; Viridiplantae; Streptophyta; Magnoliopsida; Malpighiales; Euphorbiaceae.